UGGGGAAUAUUGCACAAUGGGCGCAAGCCUGAUGCAGCCAUGCCGCGUGUGUGAAGAAGGCCUUCGGGUUGUAAAGCACUUUCAGCGGGGAGGAAGGCGUUAAGGUUAAUAACCUUGGCGAUUGACGUUACCCGCAGAAGAAGCAACGGCUAACUCCGUGCCAGCAGCCGCGGUAAUACGGAGGGUGCAAGCGUUAAUCGGAAUUACUGGGCGUAAAGCGCACGCAGGCGGUCUGUCAAGUCGGAUGUGAAAUCCCCGGGCUCAACCUGGGAACUGCAUUCGAAACUGGCAGGCUAGAGUCUUGUAGAGUGGGGUAGAAUUCCAGGUGUAGCGGUGAAAUGCGUAGAGAUCUGGAGGAAUAUCGGUGGCGAAGGCGGCCCCCUGGACAAAGACUGACGCUCAGGUGCGAAAGCGUGGGGAGCAAACAGG
RNAcentral lists this ribosomal RNA (429 nucleotides) under Chloroflexota bacterium. RNAcentral's name for it is "Chloroflexi bacterium partial 16S ribosomal RNA". It matches the Rfam family "Bacterial small subunit ribosomal RNA", at positions 355 to 776 of the family's 1533-position model. Lineage: Bacteria; Bacillati; Chloroflexota. The record is from RNAcentral.